RNAcentral lists this non-coding RNA (32 nucleotides) under Geobacter sulfurreducens KN400. Lineage: Bacteria; Pseudomonadati; Thermodesulfobacteriota; Desulfuromonadia; Geobacterales; Geobacteraceae. The record is from RNAcentral.
GAUAGAGGGGGCCUAAGCCCCCUCAUGGUGAA